GGUUGUGUAGUGUAAUGGUUAGCACAUCAGAUUCUGAUUCUGGUAAUCCCGGUUCGAUCCCGAGCACGACCU
Molecule: transfer RNA, 72 nt
Filed under: Aspergillus coremiiformis
Lineage: Eukaryota; Fungi; Ascomycota; Eurotiomycetes; Eurotiales; Aspergillaceae
Also listed under: 1 other name
Rfam family: tRNA
About the family: Transfer RNA (tRNA) molecules are approximately 80 nucleotides in length. Their secondary structure includes four short double-helical elements and three loops (D, anti-codon, and T loops). Further hydrogen bonds mediate the characteristic L-shaped molecular structure. tRNAs have two regions of fundamental functional importance: the anti-codon, which is responsible for specific mRNA codon recognition, and the 3' end, to which the tRNAs corresponding amino acid is attached (by aminoacyl-tRNA synthetases). tRNAs cope with the degeneracy of the genetic code in two manners: having more than one tRNA (with a specific anti-codon) for a particular amino acid; and 'wobble' base-pairing, i.e. permitting non-standard base-pairing at the 3rd anti-codon position.
Source: Rfam by way of RNAcentral